GUAGUGGGUGAGGGACCCAGGUUCCUGACACAGACAGACUACACCCAGGGAAUGAAGAGCAAGCGCCAUGUUGAAGCCAUCAUUACCAUUCAGAUCCCUCUUAUUCCUGCAGCUGCCCCUGCUGGGAGUGGGGCUGAACACGACAAUUCUGACGCCCAAUGGGAAUGAAGACACCACAGCUGAUUUCUUCCUGACCUCUAUGCCCGCUGACUCCCUCAGUGUUUCCACUCUGCCCCUCCCAGAGGUUCAGUGUUUUGUGUUCAAUGUCGAGUACAUGAAUUGCACUUGGAACAGCAGCUCUGAGCCCCAGCCUACCAACCUCACUCUGCAUUAUUGGUACAAGAACUCAGAUAAUGAUAAAGUCCAGAAGUGCAGCCACUAUCUAUUCUCUGAAGAAAUCACUUCUGGCUGUCAGUUGCAAAAAAAGGAGAUCCACCUCUACCAAACAUUUGUUGUUCAGCUCCAGGACCCACGGGAACCCAGGAGACAGGCCACACAGAUGCUAAAACUGCAGAAUCUGGGAACAAUCAGUGGAUUAUAGACAUAAGUUCUCCCUGCCUAGUGUGGAUGGGCAGAAACGCUACACGUUUCGUGUUCGGAGCCGCUUUAACCCACUCUGUGGAAGUGCUCAGCAUUGGAGUGAAUGGAGCCACCCAAUCCACUGGGGGAGCAAUACUUCAAAAGAGAAUCCUUUCCUGUUUGCGUUGGAAGCCGUGGUUAUCUCCGUUGGCUCCAUGGGAUUGAUUAUCAGCCUUCUCUGUGUGUAUUUCUGGCUGGAACGGUGAGAUUUGGAGAAGCCCAGAAGAAUGAGGGGAACGGUAGCUGAGAAUAGCAGAGGAGGGUUUUGCAGGGUCUUUAGGAGUAAAGGAUGAGACAGUAAAGAAUGAGAGAUUACCCAAGAGGGUUUGGUGAUGGAAGGAAGCCACAGGCACAGAGAACACAGAAUCACUUUAUUUCAUAUGGGACAACUGGGAGAAGGGUGAUAAAAAAGCUUUAACCUAUGUGCUCCUGCUCCCUCUUUCUUCCCUGUCAGGACGAUGCCCCGAAUUCCCACCCUGAAGAACCUAGAGGAUCUUGUUACUGAAUACCACGGGAACUUUUCGGUGAGAACGCUGUCAUAAGCAUGCUGCAGUCUAUCAACUGCCAACUGCCUGCCAGCAACACAGACAGAGUGUGGGGGUGGGGGCAGAGAGGAGAGGGAAGGAGGCCCUGCACUAACUGUCAGGAUGUGGCCGACCAAAUGGGGGAUGGACUAUACAGAGAGAGACACACACAGAAGUGCAGAUUAUAGAUUGAAUGAGGCAGAUGGCAACUGGUAUUGGGGGCCCAGGAGCCUGUGUAUCCCUUCUGUAAUCAAUUACAGUGGUUGCAGACAUCAUGAGUACUCCUUUGGCACAGAGCUCGGUCUUUUACUUCCUGCCCCUAAUUGACCCCUGACCUGGACAUAUCUGUCUUUAGGCCUGGAGUGGUGUGUCUAAGGGACUGGCUGAGAGUCUGCAGCCAGACUACAGUGAACGACUCUGCCUCGUCAGUGAGAUUCCCCCAAAAGGAGGGGUCCUCGGGGAGGGGCCUGGGGCCUCCCCAUGCAACCAGCAUAGCCCCUACUGGGCCCCCCCAUGUUACACCCUGAAGCCUGAAACCUGAACCCCAAUCCUCUGACAGAAGAACCCCAGGGUCCUGUAGCCCUAAGUGGCACUAACUUUCCUUCGUUCAACCCAUCUGCGUCUCAUACUCACCUCACUCCACUGUGGCUGAUUUGGAAUUUUGUGCCCCCAUGUAAGCGCCUUCAUUUGGCAUUCCCCACUUGAGAAUUACGCUUUUGCCCUGUACAUGUUUUUCUUCUCCCUCAGUCUGGCCCUUCCUUUUCGCAGGAUUCUUCCUCCCUCCCUCUUUCCCUCCCUUCCUCUUUCCGUCUACCCUCCAAUUAUUCCUGAACCGAUGAGAAAUAAAGUUUCUGUUGAUAAUCAUC
Molecule: small RNA, 1969 nt
Filed under: Pongo abelii (Sumatran orangutan)
Lineage: Eukaryota; Metazoa; Chordata; Mammalia; Primates; Hominidae
Description: retained intron
Source: RNAcentral